UUAAAUUGAAGAGUUUGAUCAUGGCUCAGAUUGAACGCUGGCGGCAGGCCUAACACAUGCAAGUCGAACGGUAGCACAGAGAGCUUGCUCUCGGGUGACGAGUGGCGGACGGGUGAGUAAUGUCUGGGAAACUGCCUGAUGGAGGGGGAUAACUACUGGAAACGGUGGCUAAUACCGCAUAACGUCGCAAGACCAAAGAGGGGGACCUUCGGGCCUCUUGCCAUCAGAUGUGCCCAGAUGGGAUUAGCUAGUUGGUGAGGUAACGGCUCACCAAGGCGACGAUCCCUAGCUGGUCUGAGAGGAUGACCAGCCACACUGGAACUGAGACACGGUCCAGACUCCUACGGGAGGCAGCAGUGGGGAAUAUUGCACAAUGGGCGCAAGCCUGAUGCAGCCAUGCCGCGUGUAUGAAGAAGGCCUUCGGGUUGUAAAGUACUUUCAGCGGGGAGGAAGGUGUUGUGGUUAAUAACCGCAGCAAUUGACGUUACCCGCAGAAGAAGCACCGGCUAACUCCGUGCCAGCAGCCGCGGUAAUACGGAGGGUGCAAGCGUUAAUCGGAAUUACUGGGCGUAAAGCGCACGCAGGCGGUCUGUCAAGUCGGAUGUGAAAUCCCCGGGCUCAACCUGGGAACUGCAUUCGAAACUGGCAGGCUUGAGUCUUGUAGAGGGGGGUAGAAUUCCAGGUGUAGCGGUGAAAUGCGUAGAGAUCUGGAGGAAUACCGGUGGCGAAGGCGGCCCCCUGGACAAAGACUGACGCUCAGGUGCGAAAGCGUGGGGAGCAAACAGGAUUAGAUACCCUGGUAGUCCACGCCGUAAACGAUGUCUACUUGGAGGUUGUGCCCUUGAGGCGUGGCUUCCGGAGCUAACGCGUUAAGUAGACCGCCUGGGGAGUACGGCCGCAAGGUUAAAACUCAAAUGAAUUGACGGGGGCCCGCACAAGCGGUGGAGCAUGUGGUUUAAUUCGAUGCAACGCGAAGAACCUUACCUGGUCUUGACAUCCACAGAAGAAUCCAGAGAUGGAUUUGUGCCUUCGGGAACUGUGAGACAGGUGCUGCAUGGCUGUCGUCAGCUCGUGUUGUGAAAUGUUGGGUUAAGUCCCGCAACGAGCGCAACCCUUAUCCUUUGUUGCCAGCGGUUAGGCCGGGAACUCAAAGGAGACUGCCAGUGAUAAACUGGAGGAAGGUGGGGAUGACGUCAAGUCAUCAUGGCCCUUACGACCAGGGCUACACACGUGCUACAAUGGCGCAUACAAAGAGAAGCGACCUCGCGAGAGCAAGCGGACCUCAUAAAGUGCGUCGUAGUCCGGAUUGGAGUCUGCAACUCGACUCCAUGAAGUCGGAAUCGCUAGUAAUCGUGGAUCAGAAUGCCACGGUGAAUACGUUCCCGGGCCUUGUACACACCGCCCGUCACACCAUGGGAGUGGGUUGCAAAAGAAGUAGGUAGCUUAACCUUCGGGAGGGCGCUUACCACUUUGUGAUUCAUGACUGGGGUGAAGUCGUAACAAGGUAACCGUAGGGGAACCUGCGGUUGGAUCACCUCCUUACCUUAAAGAA
RNAcentral lists this ribosomal RNA (1552 nucleotides) under Salmonella enterica subsp. enterica serovar Blegdam str. S-1824. RNAcentral's name for it is "bacterial SSU rRNA". It matches the Rfam family "Bacterial small subunit ribosomal RNA". The record is from RNAcentral. Lineage: Bacteria; Pseudomonadati; Pseudomonadota; Gammaproteobacteria; Enterobacterales; Enterobacteriaceae.